Dicentrarchus labrax (European seabass) is the source of this 410-nucleotide long non-coding RNA. RefSeq lists it as uncharacterized. The record is from RefSeq and is a predicted model, not a curated record. The transcript is spliced from 2 exons. NCBI's taxonomy places the organism in Eukaryota, Metazoa, Chordata, Actinopteri, Moronidae.
GUCGCUGCGCCUGCGCGUACGCACGAAACGGAAGCACCGUGACACGGAGGAGGAGGACGGGGGGAGAAAGGAGGAGGGAGGGGGGAGGUCAUCACGUCCAAUCAGCGCCUGCCCUGAUCCUAAACCCGCCUCUGUCACAACAACAGGCGAUAAUAACAACACUAUCAGUACUAUUAUGACCUUUUAUAAAGAGUGGAAAAAAUGCUGAAUUGUGCGUUUUUCCUUACAAUGGCAGCAGCACACACUCAAAACAUCAAAUCCCGAACGGAAGAAAGCAAGCCAGAGGAUUGGCUGUCUCAGUGAACCACACAGUGGGUUUAGUUACAGCCACUAAUGGACACUUGUUGAUGUAUAGUUAACACAUGCUCCUAAUUAGAAUAAACUGAGUGAAUAAAUACACAUUUGACACA